RNAcentral lists this ribosomal RNA (433 nucleotides) under uncultured bacterium. RNAcentral's name for it is "partial 16S ribosomal RNA". It matches the Rfam family "Bacterial small subunit ribosomal RNA", at positions 29 to 507 of the family's 1533-position model. The record is from RNAcentral.
AACGAACGCUGGCGGCAUGCCUAACACAUGCAAGUCGAACGAGACCUUCGGGUCUAGUGGCGCACGGGUGCGUAACGCGUGGGAACCUGCCCUUAGGUUCGGAAUAACUCCCCGAAAGGGGUGCUAAUACCGGAUAAUGUCUUCGGACCAAAGAUUUAUCGCCUUUGGAUGGGCCCGCGUUGGAGUAGCUAGUUGGUAGGGUAAAAGCCUACCAAGGCGACGAUCCAUAGCUGGUCUGAGAGGAUGAUCAGCCACACUGGGACUGAGACACGGCCCAGACUCCUACGGGAGGCAGCAGUGGGGAAUAUUGAACAAUGGGCGAAAGCCUGAUCCAGCAAUGCCGCGUGAGUGAUGAAGGCCUUAGGGUUGUAAAGCUCUUUUACCCGGGAUGAUAAUGACAGUACCGGGAGAAUAAGCGCCGGCUAACUCCGUG